RNAcentral lists this long non-coding RNA (8797 nucleotides) under Lactuca sativa (garden lettuce). RNAcentral's name for it is "long non-coding RNA (LSAT_LNC008311)". The record is from RNAcentral. Lineage: Eukaryota; Viridiplantae; Streptophyta; Magnoliopsida; Asterales; Asteraceae.
GGUUGUCAUGUAGGAAUCGAGGAGUCGAAGGGAGUCGACUUGAGCGUCGAGAAUAUUUUAAACGUUGCACGACACUGAGGUGAGUUACCUUCUAGUAGGGGUGGGUCUAAGGCGACAAUGCCGACCCACCAAAAAGGGGUAUUUAGAAGAUGAUUGUCUUUGUGAUAAUUAUCUUGGUCUGGUUAUGUGUUUNGACAUGUUAUGUGUGUAGUAGGGAUUAUCUUCCUUGAUUGUGGUCCUUAGGACCUAGGGGUAGGUCAGUACCCGGAUAUGACUGAUUGUAUGCUUAUAUUUGUUGUUGCAUGCUAGUGGUCGGGUGAAAUAGUCCCCAGUUACCGGUUGAAAGAUACCGAUGGCAGUUACCGGUUGAAAGAUACCGAUGAUGGUUACCGGUUGAAAGAUACCGAUGAAGGUUACCGGUUGAAAGAUACCGACGAUAUUGUAUGGUAUGUGGUAUGAUGGGGGAACUCACUAAGCUUUGAGCUUACAGUUUUAGUUUUGGUUUUAGGUACCUCUUCGUUGAAGGGGAAGGAGCCGGCGGUGUAGUAGCGCAUCACACACACAUGGUUUCCGCAUUGAGUUUCUGGGAUUAUAGUAUGAUUUUCAUUACUUUUGAUGUCACGGUUUGAGACACAACAUUAUGAUUUUGUAAGGUGUUGGUUUAUCGACAAUGUUUUGGUAAAAUGUUUAUUAAACAUAUUAAUUCAAAAAAGAAAUUUUCGGGCUUGAAUUUUGGGAUGUUACAAGUUGGUAUCAGAGCCCUGGUUUGAGGGAUUCGGACACACCCUCGGGGGUCAAACCGAGGGACUAAAAGAUUUUUACAAGGAAAAUGGUUUUCUAAAAUCUAAAUUGAGAAAUUUUUAGAAAGACGAAGUGUGUGAUGCUUGCGACCAGCCGGGCUCGAGUAAGUUUUCCCCAAGAUACCCAUACUUGCUAUGUUAUGUUAUAUGGUUUUGAUUCAGAGAACUGCAUGCUAGAAUAGGACUAAGGAUCUAGGAGGAUGCCUUGUGUGCCUGAUAUAUGAUUCUAAAAAUUGCAUGCUAGUUAGGGCUAAGGGUCUAGGAAGGAUGCCUUAUAUGCCUGUUGUAUGAGCUGUAUGCUAGGACUGAUUAGUCAGCAGUAGGAUGGCCUGUGUAGGUUAUGCCUGGUCUGGUUACUCAAUGCACGAAUGCUGUUUGCUUUGUGCUAUGGGGGUUCUGGCCAAUUUCAACUAACCAAGGAACGAAUAUGUAAUAUCUGCAAGCUAGUUAGGGGGAGAUGGUGGGGACUCCUAGUGCAGUUGAUGGUGGAGAGUAGAUCGGAGAGUGCCCUAGGGAAGCCUAGGAUGAGGUCAGUGGAAAGGGUAUCGGAAAAAGGGACUUGGCGAAGUCGAAGCAAUCCUUGAGGAAAGUACGGAUAAAUGUGGAAGGUAGUAUGGGCCCGUACUACUAAAAGCAGAGGAUCCGUACUCGAGUCAAGGAGGGCCUAGAUGGAACCAGAAAACUUGGAAAGUGUAUGUGACUCUGACAAUAGUAUGUUUAUUUUAAGAAUGGUGGUCACGCGACAUGGAGCCGGAGGUUCAGGAUCUAGGUCAGGAUCAGCCUCGGGUGCAGGAUCCGAGCAUGUGGAUGAUGGAUUACGCGAGUUCAUCGCGUCCGAGAUCACGAGAGGUAUCAUUGAUGCGACACCGGUUAUCUUCGGGUCGACCAAGGAGGGGAUCAUUGAGCUGAUGGAGGAUCACCUCCAAUCGUUCAAGAGUGAUCUGGCAUCUGGCCAGACGAGCACGCGCACACUGUCCUUUAAGGACUUCAGAGGGAGUGGUGCGUUGGAUUUCCAUGGGGUGAAGGACCACAUAGUCGCUAGGAGAUGGAUCGUAGACAUCGAGUGUACGCAGCUGACUAGCUUCUACCCGGAAGGGUCGAAGGUCCGUUUCGUUGCAGGAUGUUUGAGGGACCGAGCCAAAGAUUGGUGGGAGUUGAUUGGUGACAUGUUGGGAGCCCCAGCCAUUGAGGCUAUGACGUGGUCAGAUUUUGUGGCCAGAUUCAGGGCCGAGUUCACACCAGCUGUGGAGCUUCAGCAGCUGGUCAGGGAGUUCUUGGAUAUGAGACAGACUACGGAGACUGUGACUGAGAUCACCGCCAAGUUCCGGGAGAGGGAUUUGUUGGUGCCCCGGUAUGCGGGUGAUGAGGACAUGAAGGCGACCCGCUACCAUGACAUGCUACGAGCUGACAUCCGGGAGCAUGUUAGUUUUUCAACUUACCCUACCCUAGAUUUCAUGAUUGUCAGGGCUAGGGAGAGGGAGAUAGAUCUGGAGCACAUCCGGAAGAGGAAGGCAGAGGAGGGGCAGACGACGGGGGCUUUGGGGAAUAAUCCCAAGGGAUCCGAUGGUAGGCCGAAAGACCAUUCAGGAUGGGACCGUUGUGGGAAAUGCGGUCGGUCACAUGAGGGGGCUUGUCGCACUGGGCCGGGAUCAGGCUGCUAUAAGUGUGGCAAGGAUGGGCAUUUUGGCAGAGAUUGUACAGCCCCUACUCCUGCGAUUCAGACAUCAGACCUGAUUUGCUUUCAUUACAAUCAGAGGGGCCAUAAAAAGGCCAAUUGCCCUAGAUUGACAGUAGCAGCGGUGCCGACAGUGGCUCCGACUCCAACGACAACACGGGUUGUGGAUGGCCGGAAGGUCAAGUCGGAGGCUCCAGUGGUUUGGAGCCGAACAUUUCCGCUGACAGCCGAGGAGGCACGCGUUGCACCCGAUGUGGUGACGGGUAUGAUUUCUUAUUUAUGCUUUUAUGUUAUGUCACUGCGAUUCUGAUAUAUUAUGUGCCUUGCUUAGGAUCGUUCCAUGUGAACGGUAUCCCAGUUCAGGUGUUGUUUGAUUCGGGUGCCACCCGAUCAUUUUUCUCUCUUGCUCUUAGCAAGAAGUUUCCUGAGUCUUCAGGCAUGUUGGAUUUGCCUCUAGAGGUCGAGAUUGCGGACGACCAGUCUGUACGAGCAUCAGAGGUCUACCAGGAUUGUGUUUUGCGGCUGUUCGGGGAACGUUACCUGGUGGACUUGGUUCCCAUACCUUUGCGGGGGAACAAAGCUAUUAUUGGUAUGGAUUGGUUGAGCCCCAAUGGGGCAGUGAUCGACUGCGCGCAACAGUCAGUGUGGAUCAGGACCCAUAGUGGGGGAGAGCUGGUGGUUCAGGGCGAAAGGCCACAACAAGGACUAGCCUUAUGUUCGGUAGCGAGGGCUAGGCGCUAGAUCCAGUAGGGUUGCGCAGGUUAUGUCGCCUAUCUUAUGGAUACCCGGGAGGCGGGAAAGGUGACAGUGGGCGAUGUGCCCGUGGUGCGAUAGUUUACAGACGUAUUCCCUGAGGAGUUGCCUGGGAUACCUCCGGAAGGACAGGUGGAGUUCAGGAUCGACCUAGUCCCUGGUGCGGCUCUGAUAGCCAAGGCUCCGUAUCGGUUGGCUCCUCCUGAGAUGUGGGAGCUGUCUACAAAACUGCAGGAGCUGUUAGACAAGGGGUUCAUUAGACCGAGUAGUUCACCCUGAGGAGCCUCGAUUCUGUUUGUGAAGAAGAAGGACGGGUCAUAUUGGAUGUGUAUAGAUUAUCGGGAACUGAAUAAGGUGACAGUGAAGAAUCGUUACCCACUCCUGCGGAUCGAUGAUCUCUUUGACCAGCUACAGGGAGCAUCUUGGUUCUCCAAGAUUGAUCUGCAUUCAGGAUACCACCAGAUGAGGGUCAGAGAGGAGGAUGUGCAGAAGACUACCUUUCGGACACGUUAUGGUCACUAUGAGUUUGUGGUGACGCCUUUCAGGCUCACCAAUGCUCCUGUCGCAUUCAUGGAUCUCAUGAACCAUGUGUGCAGACCAAUGCUGGAUCGAUAUGUGAUAGUUUUCAUCGAUGACAUCUUGGUCUAUUCCAAGACAUGAGAGCAUCAUGAGGAGCACUUACGGGAGGUUUUGAGUACUUUGAGGAGAGAGAGCUUAUAUGCUAAGUUCUCCAAGUGUGAGUUAUGGUUGCACGAGGUGCAGUUUCUUGGGCACCUUGUCAACCAGAACGAGAUUUUGGUAGAUCCGUCCAAGGUAGAGGCCGUGAUGAGGUGGGAGGUCUCGAGGUCUCCAAUCGAGAUUCGGAGCUUCCUGAGACUGGCAGGUUACUAUCGGAGAUUCAUUCAGGAUUUCUCUAAGAUAGUCGUGCCCCUGACCAGGCUGACGAGGAAGGUCGUGGUCUUCCGUUGGGGACCUGAGCAGCAGGCUGCAUUUGAGACAUUGAGGCAGAGAUUGUGUGAAGCUCCGAUCUUAGCCCCGCCAGAGGGCAUGGAGGAUUUCGUUGUAUACUGCGAUGCGUCCAUCUCGAGUUUGGGCGCAAUAUUGAUGCAGAGAGGGCACGCCAUUGCUUACGCUUCGAGGCAGCUGAAGCCUCACGAGGCGAAUUACCCGACACAUGAUUUGGAGCUGGGGGCUGUUGUAUUCGCCCUCAAGAUUUGGCGGCAUUACCUCUAUGGGGUUCGGUGUACCAUCUUCAUGGACCACAAGAGUUUAAGGUACCUCAUGGACCAGCCGAAUCUAAACAUGAGGCAACGUCAGUGGUUGGACGUGGUGAAGGAUUACGAUUGCGAGAUCCUUUACCAUCCGGGUAAGGCCAAUGUGGUGGCUGACGCACUCAGCAGCAAGGCAGCGCCGAUCAGGGAUAUUUGUCUGAGGAUGACCGUGGUGACUCCGCUUUUGGAACGGAUUCGGGAGGCCCAGCAGGAGGCCAUGAAGGAGGAACAUGGGAAGAGUGAGCGGAUAGUGGGGUAGGUUUCCUCUUUCGACUAUGACAGCCGAGGACUACUUACACUACACUGUAGGGUGUGGGUGCCGUACCACGGGGGUGUGCGCCAUGUUCUGAUAGAGGAGGCGCACAAAUAUCGAUUCUCCAUUCAUCCCGGGGCGACGAAGAUGUAUAGGGAUCUUCGUCUGGACUAUUGGUAACCCUGUAUAAAGCGGGAUGUGGCAUGGUACGUAGAGCGGUGCUUGACCUGCAUGAAGGUCAAGGCCGAGCAACAGAGACCUCACGGCAAGAUGCAGCCGUUGGAUAUACCGCUGUGGAAAUGAGAAGACAUUACGAUGGAUUUUAUAACAAAACUUCCCAGGACCGCACGGGGAGUGGAUUCGAUUUAGGUCAUCGUCGAUCGGUUGACCAAGAGUGCCCACUUUAUUCCGAUUCAGGAGAGUAUUUCGGUCUAAAAGCUGGCCGACAUCUAUAUCAGGGAGGUGGUGGCGCGGCAUGGGGUGCCAGUGUCGGUGAUUUCGGACAAGGAUUUUCGGUUCACUUCUAGGUUUUGGAAGAAAUUCCACGACGAGUUGGGCACUCGUCUACAUUUCAGCACCGCCUUUCACCCACAGACGGAUGGCCAGAGCGAGCGGACCAUCCAAACUCUGGAUGAUAUGCUGUGGGCGUGUGUGUUAGAUUUUGGAGGUAGUUAGGAUACUUACCUUUUGUUGGCGGAGUUCUCCUACAACAAAAACUACCACGCGAGUAUCGAUCGUCCUCCCUUUGAGAUGUUAUACGAGAGGAAGUGCAAGCCCCCAAUAUGCUGGGGCGAGGUUGGCCAGAGGGUCCUGGGGAGCACCGAUGUAGUGCUCAGAACGACAGAAAGGAGUCAGAAGGUCAGGAGCAGACUUCAGACUGCUUAGAGUCGGCAGAAAAGCUAUGCCGAUAAGCGCCGAUCAGACCUGGAGUUCCAGGUCGGGGAUAUGGUUCUCCUAAAGGUGUCUCCAUGGAAGGGUGUUAUCCGAUUCAGGAAAUGGGGCAAAUUGGGCCCCUGGUACAUUGUACCAUUUAGGGUUAUAGCCCGGGUGGGUAAGGUGGCGUAUAGGUUGGAUCUGCCAGCCGACCUCGGUCAGAUACACAACACUUUCCAUGUUUCUCAGCUGCGAAAGUGUCUGGUGGAUGACUCAGCAGUAGUUCCCUUGGAGGACAUUCAGGUUGACGACAACCUAUAUUACAUCGAGUGGCUUGGGGAAAUCCUCGACCGAAAGUCGAAGGAUUUGAGGAACAAGAGGGUGGAGCUCGUAAAGGUGCAAUGGCAGCACAGGAAGGGCUCGGAAUGGACUUGGGAGCCGGUGGACGAGAUGAUGGAGCAUUACCCAACGCUGUUUCAGGAGCGAGCAGCAGACUUCGAGGACGAAUUCUAAAAUAAGUAGGGGAGAUUUGUAGCACCUGGGUCUUGGUACGUAUUUCUUUUUAAGUAUUUUGCAUUUUUGGCCUUGGACUCGACGAGUUGAAGGACCAACUCGCCGACUAGAAGCAGGACGGGACGCAGGAUUUAAGUGAUGGACUCGACGAGUAGACCAUGUCUGGACAAAAACCCUAAUCUGAGGGUUUGCACCCUAUUUAAACAAUGUUAUGUCAGCCACAACGUCCCUUAUGCUCCCAGAACACCUCUCAUUGAAACCCUAGCCGUUAUUGAAGCAAUCUAAGCCUUGUUGGUGGAUUUUGGUGCUUGUGGUCUUAAGAAGGAAGGAGAAAAGCUUGAGGAAGCAAGUAAAGACCAAGGGAACCCGAGUUUGUGCACCUUCUACAGUUCGUCAAAGGUAAAAAGCUGUAACCUUGCUCUUUCAUUUUUUAGAUCCAUUUUUGGGGAGAUUUAGGGCUUUUAUAAGCCAUUUUUGAUGGCCAACCAUGAUUGCAAACAUGGUUGGGGGUUAGAGCUUCUGAAUCACGUCAUUAAGGGAGUCACAAGGCAGCUGUGGACUACUUUUGCUCCCAUGAAAGGUCAUAUGCAUCAUAAGAGCUUGUUUUAUGUCUUUUUGAGCUCAAAGUCCCCUGCAAGCAUGUAAAGUUUGUAACUUUACAUGCUAGAUUGAUUUUAGAAUCUUGGAUCUAUCUUUUGAUCAAAGGUUGUACAUCAGAAAUCGAGGAUUUAGAGUGUGGACGUGGCCGACUCGGUGAGUCCAUUUCUGGGACUCGAUGAGUCCAAGGUUUUGAGUCCCAUAUCUGUUGAAGGUCAAAUGAACUCAAUUAAGUGUUAGAAGGGUUGUAACCGGAUAUAAAGAGUGACCCAAUGCAUUGGACGUAAUUUUAGAACUGGAGCUCAUGGGACUCGAUGAGAACUAGAACAGACUCGGCGAGUCCAAGGCAAUCUUCUUAAUAUUGAAGAUGAUCUCGACGAGUUAUUCAUGCAAAUCAGCAAGUCGAGGACAGGACUUGUUCAUCAGAUGAAGGUGGACUCAACGANGUAUAAUUAGUGAAAACAUAGAUCCAAGGUAUUUAGGGUUGUAUUUUCACCAUAGGAUGUUGUAGUAUACCAAAACCCAACANUCAGCAAGUCGAGGACAGGACUUGUUCAUCAGAUGAAGGUGGACUCAACGAGUGUUCAUACAACUCGGCGAGUCGGAUGAGUUUCAUGCGAUGUUCAUACAAGAGAGGAACUCAUCGAGGCAAUGCCAAACUCAACGAGUCGAGACGUGGAUAAGGCGAGUAAAGGGUUAGGGACUCGACGAGUUGACGGCCCAAAUCGGCGAGUUGGGUCAACUUGAAGUUGACUUUGACUAGAGUUAGAUUUAGGGUUGCGUAUGUUGUGUGUUGACUUGAAGGUUGUCAUGUAGGAAUCGAGGAGUCGAAGGGAGUCGACUUGAGCGUCGAGAAUAUUUUAAACGUUGCACGACANUGAAGUUGACUUUGACUAGAGUUAGAUUUAGGGUUGCGUGUGUUGUGUGUUGACUUGAAGGUUGUCGUGUAGGAAUCGAGGAGUCGACUUGAGUGUCGAGGAUAAUUUAAACGUUGCACGACACUGAGGUGAGUUACCUUCUAGUAGGGGUGGGUCUAAGGCGACAAUGCUGGCCCACCAAAAAGUGGUAUUUAGAAGAUGAUUUUCUUUGUGAUAAUUAUCUUGGUCUGGUUAUGUGUUUUGGUCAUGAGAUUUAACUGUAUGACAUGUUAUAUGUAUAGUAGGCAUUAGCUUCCCUGACAGUGCUCCUUAGGAACUAGGGGUAGGUCAGUACCUGGAUAUGCCUGACUGUAUGCUUAUAUCUGUUGUUGUAUGCUAGUGGUAGGGGUGAAAUAGUCCCCAGUUACCGGUUGAAAGAUACCGAUGAUGGUUACCGGUUGAAAGAUACCGAUGAUGGUUACCGGUUGAAAGAUACCGAUGAAGGUUACCGGUUGAAAGAUACCGACGAUAUUGUAUGGUAUGUGGUAUGAUGGGGGAACUCACUAAGCUUUGUGCUUACAGUUUUGGUUUUGGUUUCAGGUACCUCUUCGUCGAAGGGGAAGGAGUCGGCGGUGUAGCAGCGCAUCACACACACAUGGUUUCCGCAUUGAAUUUCUGGGAUUGUACUAUGAUUUUCAUUACUUUUGAUGUCAUGGUUUGAGACACAACAUUAUGAGUUUGUAAGGUGUUGUUUUAUCGACAAUGUUUUGGUAAAAUGUUUAUUAAACAUAUUAAUUCAAAAAUGAAAUUUUCGGGCUUGAAUUUUGGGAUGUUACAAGUACUCUCCCAUCUUUUCAGAUUUGAGAAACUUUUAUCCUUCUGCCUAAUUUGAUUCUUUUCAUUCAUUCUGCCAUACAUCAAAAUUUUUCCAAUGUAUCAGAAUUACACUUAAGCUUGUAAGUGUAACCAUAUUUACUAAACUUUAGUAAAUCAUUACGAAUAGUCUUAUAGAUCUUUUGUGGUGGACUUUGGCCAAUGCACAAGAAUGUGUACUCGAUCCCUUAGUCCUUCACUUGACUCACAUAUACAUGUAAACAAGGAACUAGUCUUAAUUUACCAAAGACGAAAAAUUCUCAUUCAUCAUGCUAUACAACUUGCAUGAUUCCAAGUUUCGGUCCAAUUGAAACUUGGGCGAUGAGGAUCUU